This 19-nucleotide non-coding RNA is filed under the name Arabidopsis thaliana (thale cress). Lineage: Eukaryota; Viridiplantae; Streptophyta; Magnoliopsida; Brassicales; Brassicaceae. The record is from RNAcentral.
CGUCGGCCUGUGGGCUCCC